UGAUGUAGCUUAUACCCAUUAUAUCUCACAGUUACAACAAAGUGGGUUGCUUAAAGGGGAUGAUCACAUGGAUCGCUUUUUCCGAAUCCUCAUGGAAAUUUCUGUAGCAAAUUGUUUGGCCACUGACAUGAUUAAUCCAAGCUCAUUGUCCCUACAAACGCCACAACAAGUCCAGCAUCUCUCAUUUGCUGUUAUUGAUAUGUAUGCAAAGCUUGUGGUUUUAGUUAUUAAGUUUGGGUAUCUAUGAACAGUAUCAGGAGCAAUGGGAUGAUCUGUUGCAACCCCAUGUGUGAGUUCUCUCUUUCCCUGAGGAAAUACCAAGUUCAUCAUUCUUCUCUUCCCUCAAGUGAUCAUAAUAACCAUGCUCUUGUCCUGA
Molecule: long non-coding RNA, 376 nt
Organism: Magnolia sinica
Lineage: Eukaryota; Viridiplantae; Streptophyta; Magnoliopsida; Magnoliales; Magnoliaceae
Exons: 3
Source: RefSeq, a predicted model, not a curated record